This 1091-nucleotide long non-coding RNA is filed under the name Scleropages formosus (Asian bonytongue). RNAcentral describes it as "lncRNA (ENSSFOG00015032754.1)". Lineage: Eukaryota; Metazoa; Chordata; Actinopteri; Osteoglossiformes; Osteoglossidae. The record is from RNAcentral.
AGCGGCUGGUCUCCACUUAGACCUUUUUUCUACACUAGUAUUGAUGUAUUGGAGGCAUCCAUCGGCGGUGGCAGUAGGGCCGGGGCCAGCAGCCGGUAAUGUAGUGCUCAGGACUGACAGUUUACAGUCUGAAGAAGGUUCUCAGUUCAAAUCCCACCUUGCCUGUAGUACCCGCGAUCAAGCCAAGGUACUUGUCUUGAAUAGAUACAGUACGAGUAGCGUGCUGCAUAAAUGAGCAAAUCAUGACUGACCGUGUGUCGCCCUGGAGAUACUAGAUAGUUGCCAGCUACGAAAAGGUUAAUAACAAUGACGUAACACGCCCAGCUUCCCGACCGUAGCGCUCCUUCCCUCCCGGAGCUCGACGCUGGGCAGCUGAAAGGCUGCCGCUGACGUGGAGGCUCCGGACGGGCGCGAUGGCGGAGCCGAGCCGGAACGCCAGGCUCUCUGCGGCCAAGAAGAAGCUGAAGGAAUUUCAGCAGAAGCAUUACCCUGCAUCCGAGAGGGCUGGAGUUAAAAAGAAAAGAAAGGUGAUGGAAGAGAGCUCCUCGGACCUCCACUCUGAGGCAGAGCAGCCGCCUGAUAAUGUGAGUCCCUGCUUUCUGGUUUCUCUCCGCCCUCCUUGACUUUACUUAAGUUGUUUCCUGCAUUCUCUUUAACUGCUGACAUCACUCUCUACCCUUUUCCUCCUUCUUCUCAGUCUCGUGGUCCCCACUCAUCUUUAGCCCAAGGAGAUUCUGACGAUUUCGGUGUCAGACUUUAGUCUCGCUAACGGUGUAGCUCUGCCUCUAUUUCAGUCAAAUCUGGUGAGGGCACAUCUCCUGUGAUUUAUUGCUUACAUCUUUGCUUCUUUAAUUGUUUCUUUGCAUGGUAUUGCUGGUGGUCAUUGAGGGCCAUGAUGAAUUUUUCCUGUUAGGAUUUUUUUGGCUAAAUUUAAUGGAGGCAUCAAGUGAUUUCAUUAUUCUCUACAGGCAGCCCAGAAGGUCAUCAACGUGACCAUUGUUCUGCAAACCUAUCAGCAUGUUUGUGGGCAAACAUUUAUUUGAAUGCAAGCAAACCCUCUGUAUAAUGUGUGUUUACGCUUGUGUGACAGU